GACGAACGCUGGCGGCGUGCCUAAUACAUGCAAGUAGAACGCUGAAGCUUGGUGCUUGCACCGAGCGGAUGAGUUGCGAACGGGUGAGUAACGCGUAGGUAACCUGCCUGGUAGCGGGGGAUAACUAUUGGAAACGAUAGCUAAUACCGCAUAAGAGUAGAUGUUGCAUGACAUUUGCUUAAAAGGUGCAAUUGCAUCACUACCAGAUGGACCUGCGUUGUAUUAGCUAGUUGGUGAGGUAACGGCUCACCAAGGCAACGAUACAUAGCCGACCUGAGAGGGUGAUCGGCCACACUGGGACUGAGACACGGCCCAGACUCCUACGGGAGGCAGCAGUAGGGAAUCUUCGGCAAUGGACGGAAGUCUGACCGAGCAACGCCGUGUGAGUGAAGAAGGUUUUCGGAUCGUAAAGCUCGGUUGUAAGAGAAGAACGAGUGUGAGAGUGGAAAGUUCACACUGUGACGGUAUCUUACCAGAAAGGGACGGCUAACUACGUG
RNAcentral lists this ribosomal RNA (497 nucleotides) under uncultured bacterium. Its description in RNAcentral is "partial 16S ribosomal RNA". It matches the Rfam family "Bacterial small subunit ribosomal RNA", at positions 28 to 507 of the family's 1533-position model. The record is from RNAcentral.